Long non-coding RNA from Cydia pomonella (codling moth), 1721 nucleotides. RefSeq lists it as uncharacterized. The record is from RefSeq and is a predicted model, not a curated record. The transcript has 2 exons. Lineage: Eukaryota; Metazoa; Arthropoda; Insecta; Lepidoptera; Tortricidae.
UUUUGGUAAGAUACCUGGGCUAUUACCGCGAAAAUCGAAGUUCGUCAAUUGCGGACAUUUUUCUCUGUCACUCUAAUUACGUCUUAGUGAGAGUGAAAGACAAAGAUUCCCGCAAUUUGCGAAUUUCGGUUUUCGUCGUAGGUCCCCUGACCGGCUAGCAUAAGUUGCGUUCUUGCGCGCGAUUCCAUACUUGAAGUCGAGCAAGAUGUAUGAAGUCGCACGCAACUCAUGCUAGCUGGUCAGCGUGCCAAUCGUGCCAAUCGUUCACGCUCCGUAGCGAACGAAACGGAAAUGUCACAGUCGCACUAAUAUGGAAGAGUGUUAACCAUUAUAACGUUGGCUACGCGGCCUAGCCAGUCUCACAGCCAUAGAUUAGGCAAGGCGUUCUGCCACUGUUGAACGAAUAAUAUCGCUAACAUGAACCUAGUAUAACUGGACCAGGCAUGAGCGGUGGGGGGAAAUAACCGAACGGGAUAGUCUUAAGUAUCUUUCAGUAGGAGUAGGAGUAGCAGUAGUAGUAUAAUUGUUUGUCCUUGUCAGAGUCUCAUUUUUUUAUUCCCUGCCGUAAAAAGUACCUAUGGUUUAUAGUGGGUAACAGAUAACCCGACCAAAUUACGUAGGUUGUUUUUGGUAUGUUGUCAGGAAUGCUAAAACGUGUUUUUAAUUUUGUCGUAUUGCGUAUGUUCUGUUCUGUCCCUCACAGGCGCACGCGUAAAGCACAUCUAUACGAUCCUACCAUCUAUGAUCAUUAUCAUUAAUAAUUUUACAUGCACAAGUCUGAUAGGAGAUAUAGAAUAAUUCGCCUUCUAUACCUUAAUGGUACCUAAAUUCAAUUCGACGCGCCGCGGUUCUUCGUCAAUGGACACAGUUUCAUAAUAUAUGUAUAGGAGGUGAAUUAUUGCGAUCGCCUCGGCGAGCCUAGUGGACGCCAGCCUUUAUACUUAUUUUACUCUUUGGACUCGUUUAAAUCCAUCUACUAAAACCUUCUUGCACUUUUACGAGUAGACUGACAUUAUCAUGGCGUUUUCUUUGAUUAUUGACAAGCUAAAUAAACUUAACAAUGAAACGAUUGAAAUAACAACUUAAAAAGAAUCAACCUGAAAAUGUUCAAGAUUAAAAGUGUAUAUCAAUGAUAAUGACCAUUUACGAAGGCACAGAUUUUAACGUCUUCUGCUGUGAAAACUGCACGGAUGACACGUUGCUAUUUUACGCCGAAAAAUAUAAACCCCUACUCUUCUUGGCAGGGUUGCUUUUGGUUGUCCUUAGCCUAGCUUACAAAUUGAUUCGUUGUCACCGCUAUCGUCAGCGUUCUCGUCGGCGUUGUCUGCAAGCUUUAAAUCGAAUGAGAUACCCUUGCAACUAAACUAGAUGGAACUAAAUCUAAUAUUAACAUCGCAAAUGACAAAGCAUCGUAUAAGGCAAUUAGCAGAUUACUUUGGAAAUAGGCAUCUUUGGCUAUCUGAAACAGACGAGCCAUGUUCGAGUCUCCAGUCUCCCGGACCAUGGAGGACAGCCGACUGUUGGGGUCGGAGAGCAGGUGGUAGGGGUAGUCAAACUCCGCCACCACGCCGCUGUCCAUCACCAGCACGCGGUCCGAGUCCAUGAUGGUAUUGAGCCGAUGAGCGAUCGUCAGCACCGUACAUGACGCGAAUUUGCUACGGAUCGUUUUCUGUAUAAAAUUGUCAGUCCUGAAAAUAAAUUAAAAACUAUGUACAGACUUA